CCUACGGGAGGCAGCAGUCGAGAAUCAUUCACAAUGGGGGAAACCCUGAUGGUGCGACGCCGCGUGGGGGAAUGAAGGUCUUCGGAUUGUAAACCCCUGUCAUGUGGGAGCAAAUUAAAAAGAUAGUACCACAAGAGGAAGAGACGGCUAACUCUGUGCCAGCAGCCGCGGUAAUACAGAGGUCUCAAGCGUUGUUCAGAACCACUGGGCGUAACGCGUGCGUAGGCUGUUUCGUAAGUCGUGUGUGAAAGGCGCGGGCUCAACCCGCGGACGGCACAUGAUACUGCGAGACUAGAGUAAUGGAGGGGGAACCGGAAUUCUCGGUGUAGCAGUGAAAUGCGUAGAUAUCGAGAGGAACACUCGUGGCGAAGGCGGGUUCCUGGACAUUAACUGACGCUGAGGCACGAAGGCCAGGGGAGCGAAAGGGAUUAGAUACCCCUGUAGUC
This 446-nucleotide ribosomal RNA is filed under the name uncultured bacterium. RNAcentral describes it as "partial 16S ribosomal RNA". It matches the Rfam family "Bacterial small subunit ribosomal RNA", at positions 338 to 795 of the family's 1533-position model. The record is from RNAcentral.